RNAcentral lists this non-coding RNA (190 nucleotides) under Clostridiales bacterium. Its description in RNAcentral is "6S RNA". It matches the Rfam family "6S / SsrS RNA". Rfam says of the family: E. coli 6S RNA was the first non coding RNA to be sequenced, but its function was unknown until recently. It consists of 184 nucleotides that fold into an extended hairpin structure with a large single-stranded internal bulge. The 6S RNA specifically associates with RNA polymerase holoenzyme containing the sigma70 specificity factor. The record is from RNAcentral. Lineage: Bacteria; Bacillati; Bacillota; Clostridia; Eubacteriales.
AAUGUCCUGGGGUUCACGACAGUCCGCCUGUUUUUACCCACAGCUCAUAAAAAGGAGCCCGGGUCCAUGUUUUGUGAUGCCAUGCCCCCGUUAUCAUAACGCCAGGGGAAGGCAGAGACAAACGGCAGGGCACCUACCUGCUUAACAAAGCGGGUGAAAAAACGGCGCACAUCGGCACUUUGGGACAUUC